UUGAAUCGUUUCUCAAUGAAUAUAUAACCCUAAUACCCAAAUCACAGUUUCCUCUCAUCUCUUCACCUUCAUCACGACUGAAUCCUCCAUAACCCUAAUAUCCCUGUAAAGACUGCACACCAAUUCAUCACACCUCCGUCCACCGCCAUGAGUUUUAUCAAUUGUGUACUUCGAUCACGAUUCAGUUCUGGUGAUCUACGCAGCCACCAUCACACUUUGCCGUAAACCUUUGUUCGAUGGAGCUUUCGGUCGUACCGUAACUACCAUUGCGCCAUUAGUUUAGGUGAGCUCUGUGCUGAUAAACAUAAUGCCACAGGAAAUUAGUUUGAACUCUAAAUUAGUUUGAACUCUGUGAUAUUCAACACACCUAGCAAGAAUUUCAACGACUUAAAGCUACAUUAGAUUUGGUGUGUGAGUGUGAGGAUCUGUUAUUAAAGGAGUUUGGAUUGUUGAAGAAGAACCCUUGAUAUAACAUCCAGUGGGCGGUGGUCAAGCCUAUCCGUGAGCCACAUGUAGCUGUCCAGAAAGUUGUUUAGGGUAAUCCUAAUCCUAGAAAUAUUUGUUGAAGCCAAAUCUUACACUUAUCUAUACACUGAUGAAGAAAAUGAUACGAUUGUGCUAAUGGAAAGGCAAUACCAGCCGCCAAUGGGAAUGAUAGGUAACCAAUCUUACGCUCUGGUAUGCAUCAUCUGAAUGUUGAUGACAUUGAUCAUACUUCAAGAGCUGCAGAAUCUUGUCAAAGCUCUCAAACCACCAUGGCAUUUCAGGUACAUUAUUCUUUUUUUAACUAUUUAAAACAUUUUUCCCUUUUUUUACAUUACAAAUUAUAUUAACUUUUCUAUUCUAGAGCUCGUAUGUGGAAGCUCUCCAAUCCCCAAUUUCCUUAUGUAUUAUAAUUUUCAUAUGCCAACAGUACCCCAGGCCCAAAGAUCUUAGUGAAGUUGCAUGGUUGAAUUGGGAUGGUAUGUCAUGUGUUUGUAUCAUUUUGGUAUAUAUGAGAACGUAUUACUAAAAUCACAGAACUUUGGCUCAAUAACAAAAAAAAAAAAAACACUUUCUUUAUUUACUUCAGCUAAUCCUUUUUAAUGAUACAAGUCUACCAUAGCUGAUAGCAUGAUAAAAGAUAGAAAAAAAGGUCAAUUUAUAUCAGAAAAGAAGGAUCUUUCUAAGUUUCUAAGUCAAGUUUAAAUCUAUUUUUUCAUAUUUUUUCCAACUGGAAUGGGUAAGGUUCGUUAAUGUGAUAGUGCAUCAUUUUUUAUAAAGGAACGGUUAUGUGGAAGCUUUAAACUUUUCUUUGCAACAGUAGUUGGUCACCUUGUUUCUGUUUUUAAAUAUAUCAAAUUUUUAUCAAAAUAUUAAUUCUAAAAUUUGGUGUGGGUGCAAAUGGGCUGGUUGGCUCUGAUUAAUUUACACGAACACUUACCUAUUACUUUUGACUUUCAUAAUUUCAAUCAAAAAGGUUUGAAGUGAAACUUCAGCCCAUUUAAUUCCAAAUCCUCUAGCCAAACAAAGGCUUGAUGAACCCACUAGCCAAACAUGAUGAAGCUGCGGUGUACAACUAGCCCAACUUUAUUAACUUGAUGCUAGUUUGUCAUGAAGUGUUCUGUUGUCGUAAUCGAUUGAUGCAGAUCAUGAUUGUCUCAGGACGUUUAUAGGGUCUGGAAUAGAGGUCAUGGUUGGGGUCUAAUGAUAUGUUGGCUGCUGUUAGUUCAUCUACCGUUGCUUCUGCUUUGUGGGUUGCUCAAAAUGUUACCGCAUACAUGGUUAAGGGUGGAGCUAAUAUAAAGUAUGUAUGACCAAUGAUACUCUUUUUGUAAUUUUGUUUGUGUGGGUUGUUUGUGUUCAUUGUGUUGAGCAUGCUGGUUUGUUUUUAUCUGGAAGUUCAGAUGUCGGUUGCUUUUUUUUGUUGGUUUGUAAAUCGAAUGGUUUUGUUAAUGAAACAGGUAGUGAAACUAUUUUUCAUACUAUUAAUAGAUGACGUCAUUGUAAACAUUUCGAUAACAUUUUGUUUAUAAUAAGAUUCUCUGGUAUGGGGUCUAUGAUACCAAUGGGUCACAUUGGAAUUUUAACCCACUUCAUUUUUAGUAAAGUUUAUUUAACCAUACGUAUUGACCCAUGACUCACCAUGCCGCUUAUGUUUUGAACCAUGAGUUUCUUACCAAAAAAUGCUCAUUUGACCCGGUUCU
Molecule: long non-coding RNA, 2186 nt
Organism: Helianthus annuus (common sunflower)
Lineage: Eukaryota; Viridiplantae; Streptophyta; Magnoliopsida; Asterales; Asteraceae
Exons: 5
Source: RefSeq, a predicted model, not a curated record